This 427-nucleotide ribosomal RNA is filed under the name uncultured bacterium. Its description in RNAcentral is "partial 16S ribosomal RNA". It matches the Rfam family "Bacterial small subunit ribosomal RNA", at positions 355 to 774 of the family's 1533-position model. The record is from RNAcentral.
UGGGGAAUAUUGGACAAUGGGCGAAAGCCUGAUCCAGCCAUGCCGCGUGUGUGAAGAAGGUCUUCGGAUUGUAAAGCACUUUAAGUUGGGAGGAAGGGCAUUAACCUAAUACGUUAGUGUUUUGACGUUACCGACAGAAUAAGCACCGGCUAACUCUGUGCCAGCAGCCGCGGUAAUACAGAGGGUGCAAGCGUUAAUCGGAAUUACUGGGCGUAAAGCGCGCGUAGGUGGUUUGUUAAGUUGGAUGUGAAAUCCCCGGGCUCAACCUGGGAACUGCAUUCAAAACUGACUGACUAGAGUAUGGUAGAGGGUGGUGGAAUUUCCUGUGCAGCGGUGAAAUGCGUAGAUAUAGGAAGGAACACCAGUGGCGAAGGCGACCACCUGGACUAAUACUGACACUGAGGUGCGAAAGCGUGGGGAGCAAACA